Molecule: ribosomal RNA, 229 nt
Filed under: uncultured bacterium
Lineage: Bacteria
Description: partial 16S ribosomal RNA
Rfam family: Bacterial small subunit ribosomal RNA
Source: RNAcentral
CGCGCAGGCGGGUUGACAAGUCAGAGGUGAAAUCCUACAGCUUAACUGUAGAACUGCCUUUGAGACUGUCAAUCUUGAGUACGGAAGAGAGAGAUGGAAUUCCAGGUGUAGUGGUGAAAUACGUAGAUAUCUGGAAGAACACCAGUGGCGAAGGCGAUCUCUUGGUCCAUUACUGACGCUGAGGCGCGAAAGCGUGGGGAGCGAACAGGAUUAGAUACCCUGGUAGUCC